CCUACGGGUGGCAGCAGUGAGGAAUAUUGGUCAAUGGGAGAGAUCCUGAACCAGCCAAGCCGCGUGAGGGAAGACGGCCCUAUGGGUUGUAAACCUCUUUUGUCGGAGAACAAAACCCGGCGCGUGUCCCUGACUGCGUGUAUCCGACGAACAAGCAUCGGCUAACUCCGUGCCAGCAGCCGCGGUAAUACGGAGGAUGCGAGCGUUAUCCGGAUUUAUUGGGUUUAAGGGGGGCGUAGGCGGUCCGUUAAGUCAGCGGUAAAAGUGCGGGGCUCAACCCCGGCGAGCCGUUGAAACUGGCAGACUUGAGUGGGCGAGAAGUAAGCGGAAUGCGCGGUGUAGCGGUGAAAUGCAUAGAUAUCGCGCAGAACUCCGAUUGCGAAGGCAGCGUACCGGCGGCAGACUGACGCUGAGGCACGAAAGCGUGGGGAUCGAACAGGAUUAGAUACCCGUGUAGUC
Molecule: ribosomal RNA, 459 nt
Filed under: uncultured bacterium
Lineage: Bacteria
Description: partial 16S ribosomal RNA
Rfam family: Bacterial small subunit ribosomal RNA
Source: RNAcentral